UACGUAGGGACCGAGCGUUGUCCGGAAUCAUUGGGCGUAAAGAGCGUGUAGGCGGCCCUUUAAGUCCUGCGUGAAAUCCUGCGGCUCAACCGCAGACGGUCGUGGGAAACUGGAGGGCUAGAGUGCGGGAGAGGAGAGUGGAAUUCCCGGUGUAGCGGUGAAAUGCGCAGAUAUUCGGAGGAACACCAGUGGCGAAGGCGGCUCACUGGCUCGGUACUGACGCUGAGGUGCGAAAGCGUGGGGAGCAAACAGG
Molecule: ribosomal RNA, 253 nt
Filed under: uncultured bacterium
Lineage: Bacteria
Description: partial 16S ribosomal RNA
Rfam family: Bacterial small subunit ribosomal RNA
Source: RNAcentral